This 1893-nucleotide long non-coding RNA is filed under the name Lupinus mutabilis. RNAcentral describes it as "partial ncRNA". Lineage: Eukaryota; Viridiplantae; Streptophyta; Magnoliopsida; Fabales; Fabaceae. The record is from RNAcentral.
UAUAAUUUCAUUAUGAGAGAUUGAACAUUAAGCAAAUAUAUUUGAAGUACAUUGGAAAAUGAUGAAAUUGAUGAAUAAUGAUAUUGAAAUCCUUUCCUCCAAUUAUCAACAGACAAAAACAAAAUCAUCAUCAUCAUCAUCAAUUUCAUCAUGGUUUUGAACAGCUUAGUAGUGUUUUCAGUGGCACGUUUUUCUACACAAGCUUGGCAAUGGUUAAUAUGCAUUCGUGACCCUUUUAGCGUUGAUGAGCUUUUUGAUAUUCUCUUCACUUUCCCUUUUCAACAAUUGCAUCGUCUUGCUCUUGGUCUUUGGGAUUUCUUCUGUCUUCACCAUCCUUAUGAUUUCAUGUUUUCUUACCUUCCUUCUGAUGAGGAUGAAGUUUAUUCUGUCAACUCCUUUGAUUAUGAUGAUGGGUCCUAUUACCAUUCUCAUUCUGAUUGAAUUGGGUUUCAUCUUUUGUGGGUAAAGUAAGUUUCUUUUCUCUUUCUGUGGCUUUUUCUUUGGUGGGGUUUUGUUGGAUUUUCCGUUUUGAUUGAAAGUUUUUAACUUUGAUGCUUGAGUGAAUUGGGUUUUUUGUUUUUUGAAUUUUUGUUUGCUUCUAUGAAGUUGUUUGAUUUCAGAAAUUUGAAGAUAAACAAAGUUAAUGGUUGCCUCUAGGGCAUUAAUCUUUAUGGUAGCAUUUGACAGACCUAUCAUUUAAUUAGAGAAUAAGACAUAUAGAUUCUGGUAUACCUUAUAAAUAGAACAGAAAAAAUAUCUUGUUCCAUUAUGUUAUAUCUGAAAAGCAAUCAUUAUCAUUUUUUUGGUGGUUUAACUCACCUAUUAGGAUUUAAGCACACGAGCAGAGUCCGACUCAAAAGACUAGUCUAAUACCACAUUGCGUUUGUUACGCUACGCGAUGUGGGGCUUAAGUACCACACAUGGUUGGUACAUUCUUUUGUGCCACACUUACCAUUCAUGUUUAUAUUUACCAUUUACUAGUUUUCUGUAAUCAUGACAGAUUCUGAGGUUUGUUUGCCUUUUUAUCAGGGUGAGGAUUGUCUUGAUGAAAAUUUAUAAUUCUUAUGUUGGUUUUGUUAUCUUGUUUGGUUUUUAAAAACUGUGAAGAAAACACAUUUCAACAGCUAUGCCAGUUUUGGAGGGGUUCUUUGUUUGUUUGUAAUGAAUAUUUUGCUUGAUACAAUUUGAAGCAUCUAUUAGUUUUCCAUGGAUGUAAUGAUUGUAUCCACACUAUUCAGAUGCUAUGAAACAAACAACUGGAUGCAGCAAAAGUAGAUCUUGAUUCAAAAUAUAUUUAUGUUUGUAUAUGUUCACUUUGACUCUUAAUUGCAUUGGAUGUUUAUGUAGCAAUUGAGAUGAAAACCCGUGAUGAUCCUAUCUUGUCUAGCGUAUCUAUUUAUGAAUUGCUUUCUUGAAAUAUGGAAUUUGGUGCCAUAUGGGAUCAGAGGAUGUACCCAGUAACCUUAACUUUGGUCCAUGAAAAUAUAUUCAGUCCAUCCAAAUUCCUCCAACAAUGUUUCUAUUUGGUGCAGCUUUGCUUUUAUUCAAAUUUCAACAUUGGAAACAUCAGGAGGAAGAAUUUUCAUGCUAAUUAUCUUCAUGGAGUGGUGGAAUGAUACAACUUUGGGUGGUUAUGGCACAAGAGACCAUAGGAUUAAGUGCAGUCUCUGAUUUCUUACUAAGCCCCUUAUCUGGUUGCUAAUGGAUGAUAAAAAGUGUAAGAUUAUUACAUUGAGGAUUUCAGUUAUGUUUAAGGUGCCUCCAUUGUGUACAAAAAACAUCUUUUACAGUAAGAUUCUUGUAGCUGAGUGAUUGAUCUCUGCUUAUUAUAUAUCCUUGUAAAGAAUGCUAUGUGAGUGUCAACAUAAUUUUAAAUAUGCUAUUGAAAGUGUG